Long non-coding RNA from Archocentrus centrarchus (flier cichlid), 828 nucleotides. RefSeq lists it as uncharacterized. NCBI's taxonomy places the organism in Eukaryota, Metazoa, Chordata, Actinopteri, Cichliformes, Cichlidae. The record is from RefSeq and is a predicted model, not a curated record. The transcript has 4 exons.
GCCAGAGUCCCGGAAACCUGCUGCCGUGCUGCUUCACACCUGACAGCCAGUUCUCUGAUAAACACGUCGACAGCGAAGCAGCGAACGGGCGAAUCACAGAUGCGCUGAUGCCGUCAAAUAACCCAACACACGGGUGUUCCAGCACAGGGAGCCGCAGCUGAGAGCCGCUCAACCAUAACUCAGCUAAUCUGAACUGGACCUCAGGCCUGCUGUGUGGUUCAGCCCGAUCAAGUAGUUUUAGGUUUUGUGUGCUUCAUCUCACCUGGGUGAACUCAGGCUGCCGGUCUGGUUUGGAGCCUUCGUCUCUGUAGCACCGAGCUAUCUGGAAGUACCUGAGGAGACAGGAGGUUGUUGGCCACAGACAGCAGGGUCUGACUCUACUGUGGACAUCUAAAGAUUCUGCUAGGUGUGCAAUGCUGUCAGCAGUGGAAAUCAACUAGGCUCUGCUUUGGAUCUCCAUCAACUCAUAUGAGACAAUCGCACCAUUUAAAAGCAAGAAACAUCUUACUGCUAAAUAGUGCAUUAUGUUCCAGUCAGUGGAGCCCUGCACUAACCUGUCUACACCAGCCACCAUGAGAAGCUGUUUAAACUGCUGCGGACUCUGGGGUAGAGAGUAAAACAGGCCUGGCUCUCUGGAUGGAACCACAAACUCUUUGGCUCCCUAAAACAAACCACAAACAUGUUUGUUCAUUAAGAUAUCAGACAUGAAACCAGAACAUUUACACCCAGCUUGGUUUUGCUAUUAUAUGACCCCUUAGGAGGACAAUUCUUUGUAAACUGAUCUUACAGAACAUUAAGAUGAACUCUUGUACAUGUUUCUGCUGCAUA